RNAcentral lists this ribosomal RNA (469 nucleotides) under uncultured bacterium. RNAcentral's name for it is "partial 16S ribosomal RNA". It matches the Rfam family "Bacterial small subunit ribosomal RNA", at positions 27 to 507 of the family's 1533-position model. The record is from RNAcentral.
GGACGAACGCUGGCGGCGUGCUUAACACAUGCAAGUCGAACGGAAAGGCCCUGCUUUUGUGGGGUGCUCGAGUGGCGAACGGGUGAGUAACACGUGAGUAACCUGCCCUUGACUUUGGGAUAACUUCAGGAAACUGGGGCUAAUACCGGAUAGGAGCUCCUGCUGCAUGGUGGGGGUUGGAAAGUUUCGGCGGUUAGGGAUGGACUCGCGGCUUAUCAGCUUGUUGGUGGGGUAGUGGCUUACCAAGGCUUUGACGGGUAGCCGGCCUGAGAGGGUGACCGGCCACAUUGGGACUGAGAUACGGCCCAGACUCCUACGGGAGGCAGCAGUGGGGAAUAUUGCACAAUGGGCGGAAGCCUGAUGCAGCAACGCCGCGUGCGGGAUGACGGCCUUCGGGUUGUAAACCGCUUUCGCCUGUGACGAAGCGUGAGUGACGGUAAUGGGUAAAGAAGCACCGGCUAACUACGUG